ACCCGGGAUAGCUCAGUCAGUACAGCAAGAGAUUCUUCAUCUCAGGGCCGUGGGUUCAAGCCCUGCGUCGAGUA
Molecule: non-coding RNA, 74 nt
Organism: Podarcis lilfordi (Lilford's wall lizard)
Lineage: Eukaryota; Metazoa; Chordata; Lepidosauria; Squamata; Lacertidae
Source: the annotation of a GenBank genome assembly